This 468-nucleotide ribosomal RNA is filed under the name uncultured bacterium. Its description in RNAcentral is "partial 16S ribosomal RNA". It matches the Rfam family "Bacterial small subunit ribosomal RNA", at positions 28 to 507 of the family's 1533-position model. The record is from RNAcentral.
GACGAACGCUGGCGGCGUGCUUAACACAUGCAAGUCGAACGGAAAGGCCCUGCUUUUGUGGGGUGCUCAAGUGGCGAACGGGUGAGUAACACGUGAGUAACCUGCCCUUGACUUUGGGAUAACUUCAGGAAACUGGGGCUAAUACCGGAUAGGAGCUCCUGCUGCAUGGUGGGGGUUGGAAAGUUUCGGCGGUUGGGGAUGGACUCGCGGCUUAUCAGCUUGUUCGUGGGGUAGUGGCUUACCAAGGCUUUGACGGGUAGCCGGCCUGAGAGGGUGACCGGCCACAUUGGGACUGAGAUACGGCCCAGACUCCUACGGGAGGCAGCAGUGGGGAAUAUUGCACAAUGGGCGGAAGCCUGAUGCAGCAACGCCGCGUGCGGGAUGACGGCCUUCGGGUUGUAAACCGCUUUCGCCUGUGACGAAGCGUGAGUGACGGUAAUGGGUAAAGAAGCACCGGCUAACUACGUG